Molecule: ribosomal RNA, 470 nt
Filed under: uncultured bacterium
Lineage: Bacteria
Description: bacterial SSU rRNA
Rfam family: Bacterial small subunit ribosomal RNA
Source: RNAcentral
GACGAACGCUGGCGGCGUGCUUAACACAUGCAAGUCGAACGGUGACCCAGGGCUUGCCCUGGUGAUCAGUGGCGAACGGGUGAGUAACACGUGGGCAACCUGCCCCUGACUUCGGGAUAACUCCUCGAAGAGGAGCUAAUACCGGAUACGACCACUUCGGACAUCCGAUGGUGGUGGAAAGUUUUUCGGUCAGGGAUGGGCCCGCGGCCUAUCAGCUAGUUGGUGGGGUAAUGGCCUACCAAGGCGACGACGGGUAGCCGGCCUGAGAGGGCGACCGGCCACACUGGGACUGAGACACGGCCCAGACUCCUACGGGAGGCAGCAGUGGGGAAUAUUGCGCAAUGGGCGAAAGCCUGACGCAGCGACGCCGCGUGAGGGAUGAAGGCCUUCGGUUGUAAACCGUCUUUCUAGCAGGACGAAGCGAAAGUAGACGGUACCGUGCAGAAGAAGCACCGGCUAACUACGUGCCA